AUUGAACGCUGGCGGAAUGCUUUACACAUGCAAGUCGAACGGCAGCACGGGGGCAGCCCUGGUGGCGAGUGGCGAACGGGUGAGUAAUACAUCGGAACGUGCCCGGUCGUGGGGGAUAACGUAGCGAAAGUUACGCUGAUACCGCAUACGAUCUGAGGAUGAAAGCGGGGGACCUUCGGGCCUCGCGCGAUCGGAGCGGCCGAUGUCAGAUUAGGUAGUUGGUGGGGUAAAGGCCUACCAAGCCGACGAUCUGUAGCUGGUCUGAGAGGACGACCAGCCACACUGGGACUGAGACACGGCCCAGACUCCUACGGGAGGCAGCAGUGGGGAAUUUUGGACAAUGGGCGCAAGCCUGAUCCAGCCAUUCCGCGUGCAGGACGAAGGCCUUCGGGUUGUAAACUGCUUUUGUACGGAACGAAAAGGCUCUGGCUAAUACCUGGGGCUCAUGACGGUACCGUAAGAAUAAGCACCGGCUAACUACGUG
Molecule: ribosomal RNA, 484 nt
Filed under: uncultured bacterium
Lineage: Bacteria
Description: partial 16S ribosomal RNA
Rfam family: Bacterial small subunit ribosomal RNA
Source: RNAcentral